This 253-nucleotide ribosomal RNA is filed under the name uncultured bacterium. RNAcentral describes it as "partial 16S ribosomal RNA". It matches the Rfam family "Bacterial small subunit ribosomal RNA", at positions 524 to 776 of the family's 1533-position model. The record is from RNAcentral.
UACGGGGGGGGCAAGCGUUGUUCGGAAUUACUGGGCGUAAAGGGCUCGUAGGCGGCCAACUAAGUCGGAUGUGAAAUCCCCAGGCUUAACCUGGGAACUGCAUCCGAUACUGGAUGGCUUGAAUCCGGGAGAGGGAUGCGGAAUUCCAGGUGUAGCGGUGAAAUGCGUAGAUAUCUGGAGGAACACCGGUGGCGAAGGCGGCAUCCUGGACCGGCAUUGACGCUGAGGAGCGAAAGCGUGGGGAGCAAACAGG